CUCUUCAGCAGCACUGAAAUAUUUUCUUUAGAGCCCUUAAUGUUGCUUUUUUGGGGCUGCAAGGAUCCCACACUACCUGAACUGGGGGAGUGGUGUUUGCCUCUUACUGAAACCUUUCCUUUAGAGCCCCUGGUGUUGCCUUUAGAGCCCCUAAUGCUGUUUUUUUGGGGCUGCAUGGAUCCCUCACUACCUGAACUGGGGGAGUGGUGUUUGCCUCUUCAGCAGCACUGAGACCUUUCCUUUAGGCAGGUCCAUGUUGUUCCCUUGGUGUUGCCUCUUUGGGGCUGCUUCACCCCCAGUUCCAGCCUGCCUUCACAAGGGCAGCCCAGCAUGGAGCACCCACUGUGGGGAUGGUUUGGACUGCUCUGAACCAAGCUCUGCUUUCAGGCUCAGAGGGUGAAUCCAAGCCUUCAAAGGCCAAAUGGAAAUUUUCUGUGUUCAGGCUGGUUUUUGUGUGUUCACCUGAAACCUGUGCAUGUCCAGUCCUCCUCCCGUGCCCCCAUGGAAAGGCAACGCUGCCUUUUGGAGUUUGUUUCAACCACAAUAUUUUUGUGGAGUUUAUGGCCAGCUUUCCUUUCAACUUGAACUCUCUGCCUCAGCCCCCUGUGUGCAGAGUGGAGAUAAUUUUGCUGCCUUACCUUGUCAGUUUAAUUAAUGUUUGGAGCGUUCAGAUAGCGACAAACAGCCGAGAAAAGCCCAAAGGAAAUGAAAAAUUCUUUCUUGGGAGCAGCGUUUGGACGGUCAGCAGCAGAUAAGGCUCAGGCACACACUGAAAAAUGAGGCAACCCCGAAAUAUUAAAUCCAGGCUGGUUUGGGAGGGAGGACUGAGCUCUGGGAGCAGACACUGGGGAAGGGCUGGGGGUGUCAUUAAAGACCUGCCAAGGAGGCAGCUGCACAGGCAGGUGGGGCUGAGAAUGGAAAGACAAAGUUGUGCCAUCUCACUAAUUCUGUAAUUAUCAAGGGCUUUCAACGAGAUGUUCUGGCUGGUUUCACCCUGAGCUCGUACUAAAAUCACCAACAACAUGAACACUUUUAUUUAAAAAAAUGAACCACUUCAGCUUCAAUUAGAAAAAGUAUUUCCCUGUGAAAAUCUAUUUCCUUAUUAUUUCUGGGUGGCUUCUGAUAGGAAAAUGUGUUAUGGAUUACAGGGACAGAUGUUCUACAGGAAAAAAAUACAUUAUUUAUUCUCAAUUGAACCCUUAAAGAGAAAAAUAAAUGUAGACAGGCACUAAGCCUGGGGCCUUUGAUUAGGUUUUCUUUUUAAUGAUAUGAGAAUAUGCCCUGAUGUGCCUGAAAACCCACCUGCUUGAGGAUGAAUUAAUUUGGCUGUGAUUUUGUGCUGGUGCCAUCAGGGAAAUGGUCAGUGAGGCUUCCGGGAGGACUCCAGCAGCUGGGAGGUGAUGGGGUGAGGGGUGCCACACGUGUGAGCUCCUGCCUUUUACUGGCUGCCAGGGCUUCCAGAGGCUGCUGACAGCUUCAUUUCCACGCAGGGGAGGGGGAAUUGCAGCAUGAUUAGGUCCAGGGCAUCUGAGGGUAAGGCUGAACAUCUAAAUUCGUGUCGGGAGCCCUUGGUGUGGUGGAAUCCACACCCAGAGCAGUCGUUGUCCUUCAUCUGGCUGCUGAAGGGCCCUCCAAAGCACAGGGCUCCUCCUGGAGAGGAAAAAAACCCUGAGAUUAAUUGCCAAUUCCAUUCACAUCGUUCCCCAAAUGAUUUUUAAUUUCCUUUGAAUGACAAGCAAUUAUGGCCUUUUUUCAGGGCUGCAUCGGGAGAUAAAAUGUCUCUCAAAUUCUUUCAGGUAUGUUGUUAAACUGUGCUCAUAAUUGAGGGCUACAGGAAUUAGUGUGAAGUCUAAUUGUGAGUAAAGAAUGAAAUGAAAGAUUCUGGAAAGCAUCAGAGCUGUUGCUGAAUUGUUCAGGUUUAAACAGGUGUGGCACGUUCCUUCGAGGGCUGAGAAAAAUAAUCUGGGAUCAAGUGUGGAGGAAGGGAGAGGGAGCUUGUGUGGAGUGAUUUACAUUUGUCUUAGGGGUCUUGGGAAAGACAAAACUUGAAUAAAAUCUCUUGCUGAAUCUCCUCCUGAGAGCCUUCCUGCUGCUCUUGCCUGCUCCAGCUUUAACUGCAGCCAGGGGCUGGUUCAGUGUUUGUGGGACAGCUGAAAGCCAUCUGCCAUCCCCAAGAUCCCAGAAGGAUUUGGGGCUGGAGGCCCUAAAACCCCUUUUCUAUCAGCAGCAAACCCCUCUGAGCCGCCGUGGGUCUCAGCUCUGGUUUGCAUCCAGCCCUGGCAGGGAUAAAUGCCAGGAGCUGGCACAGGACAGGGAGGGAAGGCUCUGCUCAGAGAGCAGAUCCGACAGGCUGGGGAGAGCCCCAUCAGUCUGGACCCGCCUGGCAGACGGCAGGGAGGGUAAUUUAAGUACUGGAUGGAUGCAUAUGAAUGGGCUCACUUGCAUAAAUUGUUACAGCACUCCGGCCCGGCUGCCCUUGUGCCAGGGCUGAGGGAAGGAGCCUCUGCCCUGGCUCAGGGAAUGAAAGUGCCUUUUACUGGAAUGAGGAGAGCACCCAGGAGGGGCUGGCAAGGAGUUCAUUGUGGCCCCUGCUGGGGGGGAGCUUUGGUGAAUGGGUCUGGUGCUCACCCAGUGGAUUUUGGUGUCUGGGCGCUGUGCUCGGUGAGCUCCCCCCCAGUGGAUUUGUGAGCUGUCUGAGGCAGUGGAGAUGUGCUCCUCUGCACAAACACAGCCCCCAGGACCCUCCCGAGGCAGGGCCUGCUACUGCUCACUUAUCCUCUCGUGGGACCACGGGAUCAGAGGGGCUGGAUCCCAGUGGAAAUUAUGGGAAAUUCAGUGUGUCUGCACAUGGCUUCUGCUCCUCAGUGUCCCUCCUGCCCCGAGGGGGAUGGACUGCCCCAGAACGCUUCACCUUGGCCUGAGCAGAGCACUGGACCCCUCCCGGGGAGGGGAGCCUGCAGGGAGCUGCUCCUGCAUUUCCUGCAGCCUGCUCUGGUGCUCCAGUGCUGGAUUUCCCUGCUCUGGCAGGGCUGUACCUGGAAGGAGCCCCAGGGGCUGCCCCAAAGCCCCCAAACCCUGCUGGCCCAGAGGAGCCCCUGGGCAGGGACUGUCUUCCUGCAGUUCCUGGGAUAUUGGGAGGUUUGGUGAGGGCUGCAGGCAGGCAGGGUGUGAGCACUGAAGGCAAACAGGGUGUGAGCCCUGAAGGCAGGCAGGGUGUGAGCACUGCACCCAUCCCGUGCUGGGAGCUCUGCUGGGGUGAGCAGGAGUUCUGGCCCUGCCUGCUUUGGAGGGAGGAAUUUCCUGGGAUUUUGGGUACAGGAGAGACCAAGGGUGCCUGGAGAGCACCUGAAGAGGGGAAAUGGAGGUGAUGUACAAAAGGAAUUGUUCCCUGGCAGGGUGGGCAGCCCUGGCACAGGUGCCCAGAGCAGCUGUGGUGCCCCUGGAUCCUUGGCAGUGCCCAGGGCCAGGCUGGACAGGGCUGGGAGCUCCUGGGACAGUGGGAGGUGUCCCUGCCCUGGCACUGGGUGGACUUUGAGUUCCCUUCCAACCUAAGCUAUUUGUGAUUCUAAAUAGGAUUUCUUGCCUUCCCUGUCAGUGCUUCCACAUGUUUGACAAACAGCUCAGCAGCCUAAUUCUUAUUUUUACAGUUCACUGCUGUUUGAUAUUGACAGUGUCCAUCUCCCUCCCUUUAUAGGGAACCUUUCAUUGAUUUAUUGUGAUGGUUCUUUAAAUCCCUCGUGGAACAGCAAAUAAUCUCUUGGCAUUUCACACACCUUUUAAUUAUAAAUAAGUGAAAGAAUGGAAAAUCACUCAGAAGCAAAAAACACCUGCAAACAAAACCUGUAGUUACAUCUUUUAGAAGAGAAGAAGUGGUUGUAAAGAAAGGGAAGAGCCUGGAGGAUCAUAAAGGAGCUUACUCUGAGUUGUUUAUUCCCUGUGUGCCUGGUGUGAUGUGUCAGUGAAGCUGAACUCUGCAUUUUAUGGAUUCCUCCCUGGAUUGUCUGAGACACGUGUCCAUAAAACCCUGCUGGGUUACAGCAGCCUGAGGAGCAUCACUGCUGUUGUUUUGGAACUUUCUAAUUCCCUGGUUCUCCCCAAACCUGCCUCACCUGAGCCUUGUGCCCUGCAGGGAGGUGCAAUCUGAGCCAGGGGUUGUGGGGUCUGGGAUAUCCUGAGCUGGAAGGGACCUGCUGGGAUCAUGGAAGGAGCAGCUGAGAGAGGUCAGGAACAGUUACAUCAACAAUAAUAUCAGUGAUAUCAAGGGCCCAUUGUUCAGCUCUGGAUAACUGACAUGCAGGGAGCUGGCACACCAAUGCAGUUAUAAAUUCACUUUGGCCAUUACUGCCAAGUACAGCUCAGUGCUGCUCAUGCUCCUCAAAUCUGCUUUGCUGCAGGAUAGAUGGGGCUCUCACCCACUGAGACAACAUCUGAGCCCUUCUAGCUGUCCUUUUAGAAACAGAAUUUCCUGGUGCUCCCCACCAGUGCUCCCAGUUAUCCUGUGCUCAUUCCUGAAAGGGCUGGAAUUCUCCUGGCUCAGUGGGAUUCUGCUGUUAGAUCAGCACCUGCUCUCUCUUCAGGGAAAUCAGGGAAUUCAUCUCUGAUUUGGUGUUUUCCUGAAAGAUCUGCACCUUAGGAGAGAGAAAAGAGCCCUGCCACAUCUGCCUAACAGAUGCCUCACAAAACAACUCCUAGAUUUUUGAAAUUGCUCUCAAGGAAGUUCUCAGUGGGGCAAACUGCUCCUGCUGCUUCCAUGGGCCUGAGCCCUCCCAGGAAUUCUGGCUGAAGUGGGAGGGGGUGGGCUGGGCCUGCAGGAGGAAUUACAGCAGAAAUUGAAUGGCAGACAUUGUGAGGAGUGGUGACAAGGGGGCCCUUUCCAGGUGGAGGUGGCAGGGAAUGGGAUGGGUGGGAUGGGCAGCACGGGAGGGGCCCCUCAGUGCUGGGUUAGCCCCUGCCCCCUGCCCAGCUCUGGGAUGGUCCCAGUUUGAUGAGGGAUGUGCCCCUCUCUGGGGCUGGAUGGUGGAUUUCCUAGCCUGGCCCAAGGUGAGUUUAGCAGAGCAGGGUGGCAGGAUGCCAGUGAGGAUGAGCCAUCCCCUGGAGCUGUGGGAUCAGGGAACAAGCAGCCAGGAUCUCUGCCAGCUGAGCCUCUCCCCCUCUGCUGCACAGACAUUAUCCCACAGACAGCCCAGGGCUGAGCUCUCCUGGGUGCUGGGGGUGCUUUCUGCAGGAUUUUGGCUGAGCCUUAGGCUUUGUUACAUCCCUGCCCUUCUGCAGAGGUGGAAUGGACAAAUAAUUCCUGCCAAAUUCUAUUUGCUCUUUGAUCUCUGCUGCUCCUGACUGCACAGGGUCACUGUUACACGUGAGAUUCUGCAGCAUUUCCUGUCUGUCAGUUGGAGUCAAACUGAAAUUUAGAAACUUGUGUUGCUGCCUUGGAUGAGUUUCUCCCUCCUGAACAGCAGGUUUUAAUCCCAGCCCUGCAGAGACAGGCACAGUUCUGCUGUGUAAAUAAAUUCAGGGUAAAUCCUGAGAGUCCAGAGUCCUGUGUGUCUGGAGAGCCCAAAUCCUGGCUCACAAACCCCUCUGAUCCCUCCUGUGCCUCAGCUUCCUCCAGCACAUUUACCUGCCCCUGUGGCUGGGAGGGGAAGCUCAGCCCUGUUUCUGGUGCUUGGAGCCCCAUUCACUGAGAUAAAUGAGUUCCCUCACAAACAGCCCUGGUGAAAUGGCUCAUGCCUGGGAGGUCCACAAAAACCUUUAUAGACACACAGGGUAAUUAAUUAGAAAUAGUCCAUUACUGGGGAAUUGGUUUAGGAUUCAAUUUUUAAUUUAGUAUUAAAUUGCUUAGGGACUAUUUUCUUUUCCAUGCUCUUGUAUCCUUGGCUUGCUCUGUAAUAUUUGCUCCUCUGCUCUCCUGCCAUUGGAGAGCAGCCCAAUCCCUUGGAUUCCCAGAGUGGGAGCAGAUGGGAGCCCCAGGGCCAGCCCUGCCCAGCUGUUUGUACCCAGCUGUUUCUGGCAGGGCUGGGGGUGGCAGCAGCUCUACAUUCAGGUGUUUUAAUUAAUAUCAGUUACAUCCAAACCAGCAGCAAAGGCACGAGCAGGACAGUCCAGCAUUCCUGAGGACUCCUGACUCCAACAAAGGACUGAGACUUUGGGAGCAGCAGACCCAGCCCUGUGGAUGUCAGAGAAAUUCUACUCUGCCAUUGGGAGCUGGUUGCUUUUGGAAGGGAUUGGAAAUCUGGAGAUGUGUUUACUGUUUCCUAAACUGGUUUAGAACCUGAGAAUUAUUUUUUUUUUCAAUUUGAAAUGUUGUUGUUCUCUCCUUGUGUUGGUUCUUGCCUGUAAGCUGCAGCAAUUGCAGGGAGAGAUGUUUUAUCAGCCAGGAGGUUUCCUGGGGGUGCAGCAGCUGUGGGGAUGUGGCUCCAAGGCCACUGCUCCAUCCCAAAAAUGUGCUUUGGUUUGCUCCUCUCCUGAGUCCCUCAGGCUCAGCCUUGUCCCUGCUGUGUUCCCUCUCCCCAAAGCCAGGGCCCACCUUUUCCCCCAGGGCCCACCUUUCCCAGAGAUGAAAUUCCUGCUGUCAUUUAAUGACCUUUCUACUGCUCAGACCCAUUUUUUGUAAGGUUUAGGGUGUUCAGAGUGGAUCAGUGCCAUGGGUGGUGGGAUUUACUGGUGGGAAAUGUGAGCUGAAAUGCCAAAUAUCCUUAAAAAUACAACCCUGUGCCAAAGAAUUCCUGCCACGAUGCUCUGUACAACCUGCUGGUGCCAGGGGCAGUGGAAGCCCUUCUGGAAGGGUUAGUGAGGGUAGAGCCAAAGUGCAUGGAAAUGUUUUGGAAAGAGCAUUGCAAAAUGCAACAAUGUGAUUUAUGAAUCAGUGGGAAUGGCAGUGAUAGGCCAUAUUUUCACUGAGAAAUAUCAUAACUGUCAGGGAACAAAAUUGUCUUUUGAUUGUAGCAAUAUGCAUUGAAAUCACUGCUGGGGAAGUUCAUCUCCUCAAGGUUAUGGGAUGUUUUUGGCUGAGGAUACACUUGGAAAAGCUGUGGUUUUGUUGGGUAUUUUCCCCCAUCUAAAUCAUUUAAGGGUGAAAAGGAAGGACAGAGACCCAGGGGCCCUGUGAGGUGUUCCUCCAGGAGAGGGGGCAGCCUGGGUGACACCCCCUGCAAAUCCUCGGGUCUGGGGGCUGCUUUGUGUCCUGAUCCUGGAGAGUCAGGGGAGCCAGGCAGGGGGGCUGGAGCUGAGCAGGCUGAUCCCUGUGUCCUGCAGGAUUCCCUGGAGUGAACAGGCUGAUCCCUGUGUCCUGCAGGAUUCCCUGGAGCUGAACCCUGAUCCCUGUGUCCUGCAGGAUUCCCUGGAGCUGAGCAGGCUGAUCCCUGUGUCCUGCAGGAUUCCCUGGAGCUGAGCAGGCUGAUCCCUGUGUCCUGCAGGAUUCCCUGGAGCUGAACAGGCUGAUCCCUGUGUCCUGCAGGAUUCCCUGGAGUGAACAGGCUGAUCCCUGUGUUCUCCUGCAGGAUUCCCUGGAGCUGAACCCUGAUCCCUGUGUCCUGCAGGAUUCCCUGGAGCUGAGCAGGCUGAUCCCUGUGUCCUGCAGGAUUCCCUGGAGCUGAGCAGGCUGAUCCCUGUGUCCUGCAGGAUUCCCUGGAGUGAACAGGCUGAUCCCUGUGUCCUGCAGGAUUCCCUGGAGCUGGACAGGCUGAUCCCUGUGUCCUGCAGGAUUCCCUGGAGCUGAACACUGAUCCCUGUGUCCUGCAGGAUUCCCUGGAGCUGAGCAGCUCAUCCCUGUGUCCUGCAGGAUUCCCUGGAGCUGAGCAGGCUGAUCCCUGUGUCCUGCAGGAUUCCCUGCAGGGUUUCAAAAUCCCUCUGGAUGUGGCACUGGGGACAUGGGCCCUGCUGGGGUGGCUGGAACUGACCUUGGUAACUUGCUGGGGAGCUCAUUUUUAAUAGAAAUAACUGUUUAUGUGCUUAGUUUGUUUAGCACUCUGUACUUUAGGAGGAUGUUACCCCUGAGCUGCCUCUUAACCAGCUGAACUCCAGGAAAUUCGUGUUCCCCUGGCCUUGGAGGGCUUUUCCAGCCUCAGUGAUUAUCCCAUGACCAGGAGCAAUCCCCUGCAGAGCUGGGGGAUGUCCUGCAGCGUUUUGUUUUACAGGGUUUGUGUUUUGGAGGCCAAGGGAGCCCAGGAUGUCCCAGCCCAGAGGAGAGGGAGCCCCAUGGGAUUUGUCCCCUCCCAGCCCCUGCUGCUGCCUCCCCUGGCCUGGGGCACAGGGGAGGGUCCAAAAUCCCAUUUGUGCCUUGCUGGCCGAGCCAGAACUGGCUGAUUGAUAUUCAACAUGGAAAUUGGAUUUCCAAGUACCUUCAGGAGAGCUGUGAGGAGGCAGCUGGGCUGCUGGGGAGAUUAUUCUGUGGUAUCAGUGAUGAUGGAGCUAAUGAAUUAGAUCCAACCACCUACGGUGAAAUCUGUUUGCUGUGUACAAAAAUGAACAGGAAAAUGAGGUUUUUAUUAAAAAUAUCCCAACUCUUUUUUCCUUCAGCCAGAGUGUGUAGUGCAUCAAUACAACACCUGUACAGCUGUAAGGGCAGUGCUGCUACACCACAGACAUUUCAUCUCAAUAACAAAGUUAAUAUUGAAAUAUUGUUUUUACCAGUGGCAGGGUGGUUUUUAACAGCCCAUUGACAUCAAAUCAGAUGAACAAUAUCCACUCCAGCUCCAUUUUUCAGCUCUUUGGGCAGGUGGGGAAUUCCCUUCAGGUGCCAUCUCUCCUCCCCAGGCAGGGAUGGGCCACCAGGUGCCCUCUCCUCCUGCAGCCCCCUUUGCUGGGUCUCAGGGGUGCAGGGGGUCCUGGCAGUGCAUCCCACCUCUCACUCUCUGCCUGGGUUUCACAGGUGGGAAAUGCAGUGUUUGAAAGCAGCUGAGGCCUCUGUGUGUCCCCAGGGCUGGGCUGGAUGCAGGGAGCUGGAGGGUGGCUGUGAUGUGGAGCCCACACAUCUGGGGGAAGCUGGAGGGAGCAGCCAGGGCUGGCUGGGAUGGGAGGUGUCCUGCAGCCACCCACAGUUCCAUUCCCAUUGCUGAAAGACCCCUGGGCUGAAGACAGGGAUGCAGCAGGCACUUGAUGGCACAGAGGAUGCCCAGCAAUCCCAAAUGGAUUUCAGAGGCUGACAUCAGAGCUUGAGCUCUCACCCUGGCACAGCAGGAAUGUUUCCUUUGGAAUCAGCAGUGUUGGAGGAACUGAAGGUUGAGAGAGCAAAGAGGCUGUUACCCUCGAGCUGCCUCUUAACCAGCUGAACUCAGAGAUUCCUGCUCACCUGGGCUCCAGGCAGGACCUUAAAGGUGGAGAGGCUUUUUUACAGUGAUGAUCUUAAACAGGGAUCAGCUGUGCCAGAGGAGGAAUUUGAACCCCUCCUGGAGCUCAGCCUGCAGCAGCUCUGUCCCUGCUGCCUCUCGUGGAUGCACUGGCUGGUUUUCCUGGACAUGCAAACCCUUCCCACCUCCUGGAGGUCUCCAGCCUUUGCUUUGUACCCGAGCAGCUUUCCCACAGCCAGCUGAAGCUGACAGCCUCAAAAGGAGGAUGUGAUUUUGCCCAACAUUUGAAUUUGAUCCCACCUCCCUGCCUGGUGGUGUUCCAUCAAACUGCUCCUGAUCCAAAGGUGCUGCUGCAUGCAGAGGGACACGGUUGGCUCGUGGACCAGGCAAGAGUGUGGCUGCCAUGGCAACAGCCUGAAAUUAGGAAUCAAUUAGAGCUGAAAAAAGUGCUAUCACUUCAGCAGACUCAGUGCUUUUCCGUAUCUUUUCGGUCUCUGUAGCGUCUCCAUUUCGACUUGCAGACUGGAGAUGAUGGAGCAGUGUCAGCUCUGCUGAAUUCCAGGUUGAAGGCUUUAAGCAGAUCCUUCUGCUCCCCCUGGCAGCAGAGCCUUGGCAGAGGAGCUGAGGAGCAGCCCUGGAGUGCCCGUGGAGGGUGGUGACCUGGAGCCUCCUGUGAGUGACCAUCCCCUGCCCCAGGCACCUCCCCUGCCCUUUCCUGGCUGGUUAUUCCCAGAGGAUCCAGCUGCUGCUUUUCCCCUGAUUGCUCCACUUCUGACUCAUUGGAACAUCCUGAGCAGCACAAAACUGACUGAAGAAAAGGACAAAACCCAAGGACUGUGUGUGGUUAUUUAGCCCAGUUUGUGCCUGGGGCCCUGAAGGAAUUCAGCUUUCCUUCAGCCAGGCCAGCUCCUUGUCCUGGCACAGGGUGAAUCAGCUUGGAUGAAAGGAGAGCCAGCCUUGUUCCUGCCAAACCCUGGGGGACCUGGGGACAGUUAAACUGAGCUGGAUCCUGCAGGAUGGGCAGAGUUCAGAGGCACAGCUUUGGUCCUGCAGCCCAGCCCAGGAUUUUCCAGGCCCAUCCCAGCACAAUUCUGGGACUUGUCUCCUUCCUGAGAUCGGUACAGUUGUAGCAAAGUCUCCAGGAACUGAGCUAAAGCUGUACAAAACUAAGGUCAAAAGGAUUUCUGUGGAAAAGUGGGAUGUUUGAGUCCUUAAAGAGAGCCCUGAGAAAAGAUGCUAGGGGAUGUCCACAAGGCCAUGCACAAAAUAAGCCUGAAAAUUGUGGCUAUUUCAAAUGGAAAUACAUGGAGAUAUUGUCUCAGGGUGGAGCUGGUGCCCUGAACACAGUUUUGGACAGUUCCUGCUCGCUCUCCAUGGAGGACUUUGGCUGCUGUGCUUAAGACCUGGCUUGCAGGGCUUGGUGGAGCCGUGUUCCCUGACACAGCAGCAGCACUGAGAGGCUGCAAAUGAAGGAGAAAAUUAACAUAAACAGGUACUGCCUAAGUUCCAAAUUGAGGCUGACUUGAGACCCAGCUUCCCUGAAAUAAACCAUGACAAAAAGUUAACAGGAUCCAGCCAUUCUGCUAUGAAAUACCUCCCUGGGGCUGAUUUCACAAAGCUGAAGGAGGGAAUAAUUCAGUCCUGUAGGCUUUGAAAACCUGAUGUAGAUUCUUUUUUUUUUUCCUUUGCUACUUCAUUCUGCUUGAGCAAGGAUUUUAUAUCUUGGCUCUUCCGAAGAUGUUCUCAUCACUGGUGAGCACUUAGAGAACAUCUGCAAACAGCAGGAGGGGCUGGCACAGCGUGUUCCCCUGGCAGGUGACAUCUGUAAGGCUGGCACAGGAGAGCUCCUGGAUGGCAUCCAGAGAGGGGAGCUGGGAGAGAUCACCUCCAAAAUUCAGCCAGGGUGCCACAAGGAGAAAGGAGAUCCUGAAGAGGGCUGGCCUGCAGCAAGGUUGUCGUGGCCUUGGCUGUCAGAGUGUGGGGGUUUGCUGGCAAUAAUUCCUGUUCCAAGCCAGAAAAAGCACUCACUUUCCUUGGCAUCAGCAGCUGCUCCGUGGUGAAAUCCUCCUUUGUGUGUGAGGACAAGGCAGGAGUUUGUGCAGCCCGAGUGUUUUACAGCUCUGUGCCCGAGCUGCUGGAGUUCAGCACGGAGCUGGGCACACUCAGCUCGUUCCUUGGGCUGGGAAAACACCUCUUUUCCUUGUCUGCACCUCCUUUUUUACCCCCUGGCUGCAGUGGAGGCAUCAGCAGAGUGUUCCAACAGCACCAGGCUUUAAGGGAACUGCUGGAGCCAGAUCCAGAGAAAGACAAUGUGUUUUACCUUGGAUCACGUUUAUUCUCAGAGUAAGAGCUUUCAGUGCUCACCCACGGCUGUCCAUGGAUUGGGAAUGCCACUCCUCUGGAUCCAGGGGAUCCUCACACUCCUGCUGGGCAGAAUGCUGCUGCUGCUGGAGCACUGCAGCUCUGAGGCUCCAGCGAGUGAAAUGCUGCCUUUAAACCCCUCCCUGGCCACUGGAAGCUGCUGGAGGAAGGGAGCUCCUGGAGGAAGACAUUGGCCUUGUGGACUUUGCUGACAGUCCAUAAAUCCCAGUUCUGUCAGCCCAAGGAGGUGCCAUAAAGAGAGCAGAUUAAAGGAGAUUGGUUCUGCCAAGUGCCUGCAGAGGAUUUACAGCUCCCCCUGCCCUCCCAGGAGCUGCAGGUGCCCAGGUGAUGGUGACUGAUCCCUCAGGACACUCGUGGGACACCCAGGACAGCGAGGGCAGGAUGUGAAGGCAGAGGAGGAGGAGAGCUCACCACCAGUGCAGGAUGUGACAAACCCCUGGUGCUUCAAACUCCUCCUGGAGCCAGGAACUGCUUCCCAGGGAAACUCUGCUGGCACCUGAGGAGCCUCUGGAUGGAGAGCAGCACGAUGGAGCUGCAGGUGUGAGGCCUGGCUCAGCACAGAGCAAACAAAACCAAUCAAGGCCUUUCAGAGGGUGUGAAUGGAAGGGACCCCCCAGGAGCUCUGAGUCCAGCUCAGCCUGCUCAGAACCAGCUCUGGAGUUCCACCAGUGCCUCUGUGCAGCAGCAGUGUGCACCAGCUGCCCACGGCUCCCACCUGGGAAGGAAUGAGAGGAUGGAUUUUGAACCUGGAUCAAACUUCUGCUCUUUCCAGGCUUGUCUGGGGCAUAAAUUGGAACUCAAACCCCCAACAAGUUCCUUCCAUCCCUGCUGAAAGGCCCCGGGCUUGGUUUAGUCAAGGCUCAGAGUUCAUUUUCCUAUUAAAUGAAUGCUUUCUUAAAAGGAGGGGGGGAAAUGUUUUCAGUGAUAAGAUUGUUCUGUGAACCAUUCCUAAUGAGCUGCUGUGUCAUCCCCUUCUGCCUCCUAUUUAUCUUGUUUAGAUCCCUUCAGUGUGAGCUACUCCAGUCCUCUGCUGCCUGCUACCAGUUUGUUUUGUUUUGUUUUGUUUUAACUAGGAGCUUCAAAUACCUUUUAAAAGGUUUUAGUGAAAUAUUUUAUUUAUUUCUUUAUUUUGGCACUUUUUUUCAGGGAGGUGGAUAUAACAUCUAUAGAAUAUACAUAUAUUUUAACUUUUUAUCUAGUUCUGUAAGGUUUAUAAUCUAAAUUUUUAAAUUUCCAUUAUUUUUUUAAUACAUGGCCUUGCUUAUUUCCCAAGGACAUUUUCCUUCUUGCCCUGGGAAAGGGCUUGAACUCCCCCCUGGCAGCUGUAGGACCACUCGUGGGGCUGCCUUGAAGGUGAUUGCUGUAGCAAAAGGGUGUUUGUGCCCAGCAGAGGCAGAUUGUUGCUGCCUGUUGUGCAGCAGGUGCUGUGUGGUGAUGGGUGCCCAGCCUCACCAGCACCCAGCAGUGGGUUGGCAGCUCUGCACUCCUCUCACAUGGCAAAGCACUCUUGUGGGUAAAACAAAUACUCACAGCUUCUCAGAAAACGUCUCCUGAGGUGCCUUUAAACAGGAGAGAUGAGCACUGAGGGGGAAAAAAUCCCUCAACUCAAACUGAGUCAUUUUCAAACUCUGCAGGCCAAACAAGGCUUUUGUUGUGUCACUGCCUCGUUCAAGGGCACUCCCAGGGCCCCCAGCACCUUCAGGCACUGCUGGCAUUGGGAUUUCCUUCCCAGGGGAUUUUGUGAGUGUUUGUGGGAUUCACACGGUGGGACUCAGGUUCUGUGGUAGGAGGGGUAUUGCUGUCUGUCCUCCUUGUCCAGCCCAGUGCUCCCAUUUCCCACUCUGUGGGCAGAGCUCAGGGCUCUGCCCAGGGCUGUUGGUGUCUGUUGGACACCAUGGAAUCUCCCUCUAUUCCAUCCCAAUUUCUGGAUGCAGCAGCUGUUGGUGUCUGUUGGGUUCCAUGGAAUCUCUCUCCAUUUAAUCCCAAUUUCUGGAUGCAGCAGCUGUUGGUGUCUGUUGGACACCAUGGAAUCUCUCUCCAUUUAAUCCCAAUUUCUGGAUGCAGCAGCUGUUGGUGUCUGUUGGAUUCCAUGGAAUCUCCCUCUAUUCAAUUCCAGUUUCUGGAUGCAGCAGCUGUUGGAUUCCAUGGACUCUCCCUCUAUUCCAUCCCAGUUUCUGGAUGCAGCAGCUGUUGGUGUCUGUUGGACACCAUGGAAUCUCUCUCCAUUUAAUCCCAGUUUCUGGAUGCAGCAGCUCUUGGUGUCUGUUGGACACCAUGGAAUCUCUCUCUAUUCCAUCCCAGUUUCUGGAUGCAGCAGCUGUUGGUGUCUGUUGGACACCAUGGAAUCUCUCUCCAUUUAAUCCCAGUUUCUGGAUGCAGCAGCUGUUGGUGUCUGUUGGACACCAUGGAAUCUCUCUCCAUUUAAUCCCAGUUUCUGGAUGCAGCAGCUGUUGGUGUCUGUUGGAUUCCAUGGACUCUCUCUCUAUUCCAUCCCAGUUUCUGGAUGCAGCAGCUGUUGGUGUCUGUUGGACACCAUGGAAUCUCUCUCCAUUCCAUCCCAGUUUCUGGAUGCAGCAGCAGUUCCAGAGGAAUUUCAGUGAGAGGUGUUGAGCUUCCCAGUGUGUUUGAAGGAUCUGGACCAGUUGGGAGAACUAUUGAAGCAGGAGCUUCCCUCUGCCUCUGCCAGGAGCUGCUGUGGCACACGUGGCCCGGAUCAGCGCCGGGCAGCGUCUGCUGGGGCUGCUGAGAGGAACAAGAGCCUUUGCUGUUGUUUUCACCCACACUAAGUCUCCUUUGGAUCCUGACUCUCUUGAUUUUAUCUCUUAUAAGUGGAGAGAGAGGGGAAAAAGCUGAGCUGACGGCUGGGAGAAGGACACAAAGUGUAAAGCUUCCUCAGAUGUUUUCAGUGCCUAAUGGGCUGGGACAGUGGCUGCUCUCUCCAGGGAAUUGUGCUGGGAGCUGUGCUUCAUUCUCUGUCCCAGGCAAUGCUGGAUCCUUCACAGGAGCUGCUGCAGGCACCACUUUUCUUCUGGCAUCAUAACAGGGCUCAUAGCUCUGGCUCAUAAUUCCCUCAUCACUCAGCCAGGAUCAGUGGGAAGUUCCUGAAGGCCCCUCAGCCCCUCCAGGGCACUGGGAAAUGGAGUUUAAAUAGAAAUUCAAAUGGAAGUGUUCACCUGAGGAAGUGCUGCUUAACAAGCAGGGCCACUUCUUUCCUGCAAAGCCAUCUCUGAGCCAGGAGGGGUGGCAGAGGCCAGGCUGCACUCCAGGAGUGGGGAUGGGGUUUCUGCAGAGAUUGUUUCUGAGCACAGCUCCUGGCCCAGCCUGCAAACAGCACAUCCCCCCUUCCCUGCCUGGCCCUUCCUGGGGCUCCUUGGCCCUUCCUGGGGUCAUUCCAGAGGCUGGGGUGGGGGAGCUCUGCAGGAGCUCAGAGAGGUGGAGCUGCCUUGGGCCAGCAGCCCCGAAUGAGCAGAGCUGACUCUGGUCCAGGCUUGCAGAGACAGUUUGCUUCAGAGCAGAGCUGUGUUUGCUCUGGGGGCUGUUCAGGGGGACAGUGGGCUGCAAGGACAGCAUUUUAGAUUGUCUUACAGCCAAGCAUUCCCCCUCCCUUUCCUGGGCUGGGGGUCUGUUCCCUGCCCCAGUGUCAGGACACGAGCUCCCCGUGUGUCACAGAGCCAUCCACUCGUCUGGGUUGGAAGGGAAAACUUUGAUUAUUGGAUUCCAAUCUUCCCAAGCUAACUGCUGUGUUUAAAUCCAUAAAACUGGAAUCUGCCUUUAGUGGGUCCAUAAUUGGAUUUUUUUAUCCCUUGCUUUCCUGCUCCUCAUAAUGGAUAAUUUUCCCAUACUGCCAUGACACUGGGUUUGUGUCUUCCUUUUUUUAAUUUAUUCCUUUAAGCCUCAUCUUUGCUCCUCUAAUUUAAUAAAUUACUGAAAUUAUUAUUUUUCCCCAGUGCUGGGGCUGGAGUUUCUGAGCUUGAUGAAGUUUUUCUGUGGAGAUGCAGAUCCCAUGUUUUAAUUACUGCUCAGGCCAGGUAAGCUGAUCUGGGGUUUUUCCCAGGGAAACAGCCUUGGCUCUGGCAGUGCUCUGCUCCCACCACAGCUCUGCAGCACCCUCCACCUCAGAUAUUCUCUGAUUUUAUUUUGGGCAAACUCCUUGAAUUCCAAAGAUUUUCCUCUAGUUUGUUUUGCUUUGCUGGCUCAGGGCUUAUUGCUGCAAUCUCAGCUAUUGCAGGGAAUCUAAAGGGGGUUUUUCCCUCCUACUGCAAAAACCCAGGAAAAGAAAGUGUCUGUGUGGAGGGGAACUUGGAAAGGGAAAGGAAAAGCUGUUGUGUUAUGCAGAAGAAUUUCCUUGCUUCUUUUAACUGCCUCUUGAGAUUAGAAUUCUCUGCCUUUAUUUUUAGCAGCCAGGCUGGUGGCAGGAACAAUUCCUUCCCUUGGCUUUGUCAAUAGGUAAAUACCACAUUUGUUUUAUUUAAAGCAAAGUCUGGAUGCAGAGGAAAUGCAGCAGUCCUCUGAGGAAAGCCUGGAGAGCUGGGAAUGCAGGCCCAGCUUUCCUGCACUCAUAAUUUUGCCAUCAGCCCCGAGUUCUGAACGCUGCCUUUUGUUUAAGGGUAACUCGGUGUUGGAACAGAUGGGGCUGUGCAAUGUAAAGACAAUCAAUCCUCACCCAAAAAUGAUAAAUGAAGAACAGAAAAGCGUGGCAUAUUUUGAGGAAUUUUUAACAUAUUUGUCUCUGUUACAGUGAAAGUUCUGCUAAAGAAUAAUUGCUGAUUAAAGCAGGUUUUAUCACAGGAGGGAGAGGUGUUGGGAGGAAAUUCCCUGCCCAGGUCUCAACAAGAAGGAGCCCUGUGUGUGAUGCUGAAGUGCCUCCAGCCCAAGGAACAGUAAAAUUCCAGGUGUGGGAAUCCCAGGUGCACUCCCAGUGCCAUUUGUGCCACGCUCCCCUGGGGCUGGGGAGUGGGUCCCACUGAAAGGCUGCCCCUGCUGAAGCCAAGAUCUCCUGGUAAUGUUCACUCACCUCUGCCAAGAUAUUCAUUACCUGGGCAGGCCUGACCUUGCUUUGCACUCAGGAGCUGAAAUUUACAGCUCAUACCUGGCUGCAGCCCAGAGCUGUGAGAAAAGGGAUUUCAGUGGUGUCAUAAAAUCCUUCACAACGUGUGGAGCCUGCACGGGCAGUGAAACCCAAAUCACCAUCCCAGUUCCUUGUUAGCCAAACCAUUUCAGCCCCCAGCUCUUCCCAUGGGUUGGUUUUGUGGGGGCUGAGAAGACAGAAUUGGAGAUGAGAGCUAAUUCCCCCCGUUUGGCAAAACAAACAAGCAGGUCCCGAGGAUGUGAUGCUGUGUGUCACAUCCUGGAACUCUGCUCCACCUCCUGGGCUGGGGAGCCUUUGAUGUCCUUCCAGAUUGUUCCUCUCACACAGCUUUGUCUGGGAGGGGAAUUCCUGCCUGACAGCUGCUCACACUCCCACAUAGCCACGCUGUCAAAAUAUUACAUUCUGCCCUAAAUUAUUUGGUAGCAAUGGGAAAAACACCUGCUUGCUGAGAACACUUCUUCCUUUUCAUUAUCCGCAGGAAUCUGGGGGGAGAUGGAUUAUUUCCAAUGCUAAUGACAGCCCUGUGCAGGAGCAGGGAAAUUUGGAUUCCUCUUGUUCCCCUCCUUGACAUUCAGAUACAGGAGUUCUUUAGAUACUUCAGUUUAUCACAUGAAAACUCCCUUAAAAUUCUUACAUAGCUUUUCCCAGUGGUUCUUUGCAGAUGUGGAGUUCCUAGCUGCUGGUCAUGCUCUGGAUCCCCCCUGGGAGAUGGUGAGUAUCCCUCCAGGCUGAAGGGCAGGAGGAGCUCUGGGAGCAACCCACAGUGGAAGUGUUCUGGGUCUUCUUGGGGGAGCACAGAAGGAGUUAAAUAAACCAGAGCUGGAGGGACAUUCCCAAAUCCAUAAUGCACAAAUUGGCAUUCUGUCUGCAUACAAAUAGCUUGGAUUAGCAGGAUGUGCCAUUGCUUUCACCAUAAAAAUAUCCACUCUCACAUUAUUUUAAGACACUUUCAAAAUAGAGCAGAGUUAAAAUAUUUGUUUUAAACUAUCCAGGGAUCCUUUCACAAUCUUUUUGAUGGCUUUUUAUAGCCCCUCUCCCCCCUGAGUCAUUCAGCAGUUCCCUUUCCCAAAAUACCAGUGGUAGCUCCAUCUCUGUGAUGGAUGUUUGUGGGAAUUCACUUCACUCCUGGCAGUCAGGGCCCUCAGCACUGCCUCUGCAGCUUGGGACAAAUGCAGACUAAGGAGGGGUUAGAUAAAAUACUGGGGAAAUAAAGUUACCAGAGCAGCUGUGGUGCCCCUGGAUCCCUGGCAGUGCCCAAGGCCAGGCUGGGCACUGGGGCUGGGUGUGCUGGUGCUCACAGGGGGGUCCCAGCACGAGGGAAGAGAUGAGAACCUUGACUCCACGUUUCAGAAGGCUGAUUGGUUAUUUUAGGAUAUAUAUUAUUUUAAAAGAAAAUGACGUAUUAAAACUAUACUCAAAGAAAGAGAAAGGAUUUCAUCAGAAAGCUAGCAAGGAAAGAAGAAGGAAUGAAAAUAAAACCUUGUGGCUGGCCACAGCCUUGACACAGGUGGCUGUCAUUGGUCAUCAAGUAAAAACAACCCACACGGACCAAUCAAAGCUGCACCUCCUGCAUCCCACAGCAGCAGAUAAUCAUUGUUUUUCUUUUCCUCUGAGGCCUCUCAGGAGAAAAGAUCCUAGCAAAGGAUUUUUCAGAAAGGGUCUGUGACAGCUGGGAGCAGCCUGGGGCAGUGGGAGGUGUCCCUGGGGUGGCUCUGGGUGGGAUUUAGGGUCCCUCCCAACCCAAACCUUCUGGGGUUCCCUGCUCACUCGCUGUGGAUGUUUUUCAUUGACCCCAUCUCACGUUCUUUCCUUUGGACCUUGACAUUUCACUGUUGAAGCAAAAGCUUUGGAUGGCAGGAGGGGCUGCCUGGAGCUCCCUCCAUGUCCCUCACAAGAAGUGGGAGCAAGUCUGGGAGCUGCUCCCCUGAAUCUGCCCUGCUCUCGUUCCUGACUCUCACAGCCAGAGGUAACAGCACCAUGUGUUCUUGUCUUGCUUUUAGAAAUUGCAUAUCCAGUUUCCUCCUGCUUUCCCUCAGGAGCAUCUGAGUGAAAUUGUUUUCCUGUCCUGCAAAACACGUCAGAAACUCUCCCUGCCCAGACUGAGGGAGAGCCACGAGAGCUGCUGGAGCCUGAGCCAGCAGUGACUGCUCCUGCAGCAGCAGGUUUGGGAUGGAUGGGACCUCCUGGGCCAGGAAUCAUCUGUUCCUCUGCCUUUGAGCCCAGAGCAGCUGCGAGCAGUGCCCGACUCCCCGGCACGGGCUGUGGUGACCAAGGGAGCCCGAGGGCUUUGGGCACAGCAAUCAGUCACCUCCUUUGUCUCCAAGGGCUUGGGCUGGCCCUAAUAAAUCACUGCGGGAGUGUGGAGCUCUGCUCCUGCACAGCCUCACCUGGGCCUGCACAGCCUCACCUGGGCCUGCACAGCACCAUGGACAGCCUCACCUGGGCCUGCACAGCCUCACCUGGGCCUGAACAGCCUCACCUGGGCCUGCACAGCCUCACCUGGGCCUGAACAGCCUCACCUGGGCCUGCACAGCCUCACCUGGGCCUGCACAGCACCAUGGACAGCCUCACCUGGGCCUGCACAGCCUCACCUGGGCCUGCACAGCAUCAUGGACAGCCUCACCUGGGCCUGAACAGCCUCACCUGGGCCUGCACAGCACCAUGGACAGCCUCACCUGGGCCUGCACAGCCUCACCUGGGCCUGCACAGCCUCACCUGGGCCUGAACAGCACCAUGGACAGCCUCACCUGUGCCUGAACAGCCUCACCUGGGCCUGCACAGCCUCACCUGGGCCUGAACAGCCUUACCUGGGUCUGAACAGCCUCACCCUGGCCUGCACAGCACCAUGGACAGCCUCACCUGUCCUGCACAGCCUCACCUGUCCUGCACAGCACCAUGGACAGCCUCACCUGUGCCUGCACAGCCUCACCUGUCCUGCACAGCCUGGCUGCAGGCUCGGAGCCUCAGGGAGAGCAGGGUGGGUGCCCUCCGUGUCUCCAGGCUGUUCUGGGUGCCAUCCCAAGCCUUUGCAUCCUGGGAGGGGAAUUGGGACUGUCAGGAAGGCUUCAGGGGGACACAAAGUCCUGGAUCCCUGGCAGUGAUGAGGGAUCUGCUGGGAUAGCCCCAGAAUUUGGGGUUUCUCAGCAUGAUUUGCAAUCCCAGUUCAGCCUGUCUGGGGAGAAGAGGGAAAAUAUCACUGGAGCUCCACAGAGAGCCCUGCUGUCACAGAACCAUGGAAUGGGUUGGGGACCUCAGAGCCCACCCAGUGCCACCCCUGCCGUGGCAGGGACACCUCCCACUGUCCCAGGUGCUCCAGCCCCAGUGUCCAGCCUGGCCCUGGGCACUGCCAGGGACCCAGGGGCACCACAGCUGCUCUGGGAAUUCCAUCCCAGCCCCUCCCCACCCUCCCAGGGAACAAUUCCUAAUUGCAAUGUCCCACCCAGCCCUGCCCUCUGGCACUGGGGAGCCACUGAAGUGACCCUGCAGAAUAUUGCUCUCUUGUAUAGAAAAAUUCUAUUUAAACCUUGUUUGCUGGACACAGCAAAAAUGGGGUUUGGGUGUUCCAUCUACCCAGGGCUCUCUGCUAUGGAUGAGGGAAUUUUGAAACAAAAAUCUCUCUCUUGUGUUUU
Molecule: long non-coding RNA, 20384 nt
Organism: Haemorhous mexicanus (house finch)
Lineage: Eukaryota; Metazoa; Chordata; Aves; Passeriformes; Fringillidae
Exons: 27
Source: RefSeq, a predicted model, not a curated record